GGGCCUUAAGCUUAAGUGGUACAAGCGUCCCGCUCAUAACGGGGAGAUAAUCAGUUCGAAUCUGAUCGGGCCCACCA
RNAcentral lists this transfer RNA (77 nucleotides) under Acinetobacter indicus. Its description in RNAcentral is "tRNA-Met". It matches the Rfam family "tRNA". Rfam says of the family: Transfer RNA (tRNA) molecules are approximately 80 nucleotides in length. Their secondary structure includes four short double-helical elements and three loops (D, anti-codon, and T loops). The record is from RNAcentral. Lineage: Bacteria; Pseudomonadati; Pseudomonadota; Gammaproteobacteria; Moraxellales; Moraxellaceae.